GACGAACGCUGGCGGCGUGCUUAACACAUGCAAGUCGAACGGAAAGGCCCUGCUUUUGUGGGGUGCUCGAGUGGCGAACGGGUGAGUAACACGUGAAUAACCUGCCCUUGACUUUGGGAUAACUUCAGGAAACUGGUGCUAAUACCGGAUAGGAGCUCCUGCUGCAUGGUGGGGGUUGGAAAGUUUCGGCGGUUGGGGAUGGACUCGCGGCUUAUCAGCUUGUUGGUGGGGUAGUGGCUUACCAAGGCUUUGACGGGUAGCCGGCCUGAGAGGGUGACCGGCCACAUUGGGACUGAGAUACGGCCCAGACUCCUACGGGAGGCAGCAGUGGGGAAUAUUGCACAAUGGGCGGAAGCCUGAUGCAGCAACGCCGCGUGCGGGAUGACGGCCUUCGGGUUGUAAACCGCUUUCGCCUGUGACGAAGCGUGAGUGACGGUAAUGGGUAAAGAAGCACCGGCUAACUACGUG
This 468-nucleotide ribosomal RNA is filed under the name uncultured bacterium. RNAcentral's name for it is "partial 16S ribosomal RNA". It matches the Rfam family "Bacterial small subunit ribosomal RNA", at positions 28 to 507 of the family's 1533-position model. The record is from RNAcentral.